UGCGCUUGCAAUCAGCAAAAGAGGACGGCAAUCCAUCAAGACUCCUUCUCACGUUUGACCUCGGAUCAGGUAGGGAUACCCGCUGAACUUAAGCAUAUCAAUAAGCGGAGGAAAAGAAACCAACAGGGAUUGCCCUAGUAACGGCGAGUGAAGCGGCAACAGCUCAAAUUUGAAAUCUGGCUCUUUCAGAGUCCGAGUUGUAAUUUGCAGAGGGCGCUUUGGCUUUGGCAGCGGUCCAAGUUCCUUGGAACAGGACGUCACAGAGGGUGAGAAUCCCGUACGUGGUCGCUAGCUAUUGCCGUGUAAAGCCCCUUCGACGAGUCGAGUUGUUUGGGAAUGCAGCUCUAAAUGGGAGGUAAAUUUCUUCUAAAGCUAAAUAUUGGCCAGAGACCGAUAGCGCACAAGUAGAGUGAUCGAAAGAUGAAAAGCACUUUGGAAAGAGAGUCAAACAGCACGUGAAAUUGUUGAAAGGGAAGCGCUUGCAGCCAGACUUGCUUGCAGUUGCUCAUCCGGGCUUUUGCCCGGUGCACUCUUCUGCAGGCAGGCCAGCAUCAGUUUGGGCGGUGGGAUAAAGGUCUCUGUCACGUACCAUCCUUCGGGAUGGCCAUAUAGGGGAGACGUCAUACCACCAGCCUGGACUGAGGUCCGCGCAUCUGCUAG
RNAcentral lists this ribosomal RNA (660 nucleotides) under Curvularia hawaiiensis. RNAcentral describes it as "eukaryotic LSU rRNA". It matches the Rfam family "Eukaryotic large subunit ribosomal RNA", at positions 1 to 609 of the family's 3401-position model. The record is from RNAcentral. Lineage: Eukaryota; Fungi; Ascomycota; Dothideomycetes; Pleosporales; Pleosporaceae.